GUGUUAAAAGAAACCAGGCAGCACAUACACUAAAAUUGGAAUGACAGAGAUGAGUAUAGACUCCGCACAAGGAUGACAUCCAAAUUCAUGAAGCAUUUCAUAUUUUU
This is a small nuclear RNA of Suncus etruscus (white-toothed pygmy shrew), 107 nucleotides long. The record is from RefSeq and is a predicted model, not a curated record. NCBI's taxonomy places the organism in Eukaryota, Metazoa, Chordata, Mammalia, Eulipotyphla, Soricidae.